GCUAAGACUAGAAUCAAAUCCUGACAUAGCACUUGUCCUGUUGUACUAGAGUCCUAAGACAAAAUCAGCUGGCCUUGAUUCACUGGUAGGGGCAAUCCAGGUAAAAAACAUGA
Molecule: small nucleolar RNA, 113 nt
Organism: Ictidomys tridecemlineatus (thirteen-lined ground squirrel)
Lineage: Eukaryota; Metazoa; Chordata; Mammalia; Rodentia; Sciuridae
Source: Ensembl